CACCGAGCCAGGCUAGGACAGGUUGAGACUUCAUCAGCUUAAUUGUUCAUGCAAUGCCAGGUUCACUAGGCAGAAGCAGAGGAUUCUGCAGGUUAGCAUAAAAGGGACGUGUAACAGAGAGAGACACGACACAGGCCAUGUCAUAAUCAGGGUAGGUCCGGCAUUAAACGAAAGAUUAGGGCACUGUUUAUCUUUGCACUCAAUGAAUGAGAACAGGGCAAGAAAAAAAAGUUGGGAGCUGAUUUCGUUUGCACUGAAUGUGAUCGGGGGACCAACACAGUUGCCGACAGCAACCGUCGGAGAGGUCCAUGAGGUCGGCGACCUGCUCCGCCGCCGCCUCGUCGAACAGCCACUUCUCGAUCGAUGACAGCGGCGGCGCUGCCUGGUUCAUCAGCUGCUGCUUGCUCUCGUCGCCGUAGCCGCCGCCAUAGCCGCCGUACUCCAUGAACGACGCCGGCUGCUGCUGCUGGUGCUGCUGAUGAACGUCGAAGCAGCAGUCCAGGUCGGCGCCGGACAUGCAGUCGAAGGACGACAGCAAGGGGUUGCCGCCGACAUCGACGGCGGGCUUGACGUCGUCGUAAUAGCCGCUGUCAUAGUGCUGCAGCGGUGGCGGCGGCGGCGACGGGGAGUUGGUCUUCAUGAAGCCGUCGAGCAGCUUGGAGAUGUUGUCCAUGCUGGAGGCGUAUGAGGAGGAUGGGCAGUCGGCGAAGGGGGAGCGCCUAGCAAUGGCUGCCAUCUGGGUGACAUCGGAGUUGCUGCUCACCGUGUAGCUACCGCCGGCGGCGGAGGGGAAGGUGGCGUCGGCGAAGAUGGGGUGGCGGUUGGAGGAUGAAGUGGAGUUGGCGGCGGCGGCGAGCUUCUUCUUGAGGUGGGUGUUCCAGUAGUUCUUGAUGUCGUUGUCGGUGCGCUGGGGGAGGUAGGAGGCGAUGGCGGCCCAGCGGUUGCCGAGAAGCGACUGGAGGUGGACGAUGAUCCCCUCCUCGUGCGCCGUGAAGUUGCCGCGCUUUAUCCCCGGCCGCAGGUAGUUCGUCCACCGCAGCCUGCAGCUCUUGCUGCACCUCAUCAGCCCUGCAUCCAUCCAUCCACCCACAGCUUCAGCUUCUUCUCAGUUCAUCAUCGAUCACCAUGGCUACUUGGCUAGCUAUAGUUCAUCUACAAAAGAAAGUAAGAAACUACACAGAAUUGGGGAAUUAGGACGUACCAGUGUUGAUGGGAACCGAUCUCCAGUUGCCGGGGCCGUGUUCUUGGAUGUAGGAGACGAGGAUGAUGUCCUCCUCGGGCGUCCAUGGCCCCUUCUUGAUCCCCUCCUUGUCGCAGCACGGCGGCCGGCCCAUGGCUACAAUUCCUCACUCACUAAUUAACUCUGAUCCUUCCCGGAUCGAUCGAUCGAGCUAACUACUCUUUCUGGAAGCUGCAGCUAGCUGAUCGAUCGAUCGGUCGUCUCUCUCUGUGCUACCUGAGCUUCCGACAGUGUGCUUGAGUGUAGAGAUAUAUAUAGCUAGGAGACUGGGGACUUUGGGAGUGAGUGAGCUCCUUUUCACUUGCUAUCUCUGAUGUAAGCCACUUUCUGAUCGAUCGAUGAGAUGAUUUACUUUCACUUUCUAGCAAGUCAGUUGAUCUGGUUAUCGAUCGAUCGAUCGAUCUGUCUGUAUGUAGGAUGCUUUCUCUUUCUGUC
This 1675-nucleotide small RNA is filed under the name Oryza sativa Japonica Group (Japanese rice). RNAcentral describes it as "sRNA TL". Lineage: Eukaryota; Viridiplantae; Streptophyta; Magnoliopsida; Poales; Poaceae. The record is from RNAcentral.